CGGAACAGUCCUUUCCCGUAGUAUAUAUGUAGACUGCAUUUCUGUUUAUGGCGCGGCGCACCUAGGUCGUUUUCGCUGCAGAUUGCUUUUUGGGCUUGUUAAAAAAUUUGUGGGCGGUGGUAGACUAAUUAUUCGAUUUGGCUGAUGUAUUUACUGGUUCACCAACACACUUACUGCUGUUGUGAUCAUGUACAAACUGUACCUUGAAGCAAUUGGAGUUUGUUUGCUAGCUGGUAUAACCUUUUCCGCUGCUCAAUCAUGCAUUAUAGUAUAAUAAUAUAUCGAUUCAAGUGAUUUGCAUUAUCAUGAUCAUAGACAUUUGAUUCUUAUCUUUUGACUGGAAUGCAAGCAUGAAGCAGCACAAUGGUUUAUUAGAUAUUUGAGAAGCUAUUCUGCACGUGCAUUUCCUCUGUAUGUAUUUCCUGUUGUGGCAUUUGUUCAGUACUUACUUUGCAAUUGUAGCAGACUUGGGAUUGAGGGUGUCAAUGGAGAUGCUUGUGGAUUUGAGCAGCUUAAUUUGGGCAAAAGGUAUUGUUUCUUGUCUUAACUCUUCAUUCUGAUUGUGAAGUGCGUGCAUGUGGGUGAACACUAUCAAGUUUCUAUCCAUUAUGUGUGUCUAUUUGGGCAUCUUGUCCGUCCUUCUCAUGGGGUUCAAGCCCCAAACAGGAAAACCUCUCUGGCUUUAAAGGUUUCUACAAGAUGCCAACAAGUUUGUAAAACAUCAAGUGUGCACAUGCAGUCAGAUGAUUGUGAUUGUAUAGCAUAUUGCUAUGAAUUAUCUCCAAUCAAAUCUCAAUUCCCAUGUGAUCUGGUGUGUUUCAUUUUCUUAUGCUUGGCAAUGGCAUCACUAACACUGUGAACAUAGCAUUCGGCUUGUACAUGGUGUUUCCUUAUGUUCUGCUCUAUAGUAAUAUAAAUAUUUGUUCUGUGCAGGGGUAGAGAUGAACCAUGUUCAUCUGGUCUAAAAUCCAAAGCUUGUCGUGAAAAAUGAGGAGGGACAAGCUGAAUGACAGGUACUGCAAAAUCAAUGUUUAAAAGGCUGCUAGGCAUCAAGGCAAGCUGGGUA
RNAcentral lists this long non-coding RNA (1066 nucleotides) under Zea mays. Its description in RNAcentral is "long non-coding RNA (ZMAY_LNC001649)". The record is from RNAcentral. Lineage: Eukaryota; Viridiplantae; Streptophyta; Magnoliopsida; Poales; Poaceae.